Molecule: ribosomal RNA, 461 nt
Filed under: uncultured fungus
Lineage: Eukaryota; Fungi
Description: eukaryotic LSU rRNA
Rfam family: Eukaryotic large subunit ribosomal RNA
Source: RNAcentral
CGGUCUAAGUUCCUUGGAACAGGACGUCAUAGAGGGUGAGAAUCCCGUAUGUGACUGGANGCUUUCGCCCGUGUAAAGCUCUUUCGACGAGUCGAGUUGUUUGGGAAUGCAGCUCAAAAUGGGUGGUAAAUUUCAUCUAAAGCUAAAUAUUGNCCAGAGACCGAUAGCGCACGAGUAGAGUGAUCGAAAGAUGAAAAGCACUUUGGAAAGAGAGUUAAACAGUACGUGAAAUUGUUGAAAGGGAAGCGCUUGCAACCAGACUCGCAUGCCGUCGAUCCUCCUGGGUUCUCCCUGGUGCACUCGGCGGUAUUCGGGCCAGCAUCGGUUUGGGUGGUGGGAUAAAGGCCUUUGGGAAUGUAGCUCCUCUUUCGGGGAGUGUUAUAGCCCUCGGUGCAAUGCUGCCUACCUGGACCGAGGACCGCGCUUCGGCUAGGAUGCUGGCGUAAUGGUUGUAAGCGACC